This 1372-nucleotide ribosomal RNA is filed under the name Limosilactobacillus reuteri. Its description in RNAcentral is "bacterial SSU rRNA". It matches the Rfam family "Bacterial small subunit ribosomal RNA", at positions 28 to 1357 of the family's 1533-position model. Lineage: Bacteria; Bacillati; Bacillota; Bacilli; Lactobacillales; Lactobacillaceae. The record is from RNAcentral.
GAUGAACGCCGGCGGUGUGCCUAAUACAUGCAAGUCGUACGCACUGGCCCAACUGAUUGAUGGUGCUUGCACCUGAUUGACGAUGGAUCACCAGUGAGUGGCGGACGGGUGAGUAACACGUAGGUAACCUGCCCCGGAGCGGGGGAUAACAUUUGGAAACAGAUGCUAAUACCGCAUAACAACAAAAGCCGCAUGGCUUUUGUUUGAAAGAUGGCUUUGGCUAUCACUCUGGGAUGGACCUGCGGUGCAUUAGCUAGUUGGUAAGGUAACGGCUUACCAAGGCGAUGAUGCAUAGCCGAGUUGAGAGACUGAUCGGCCACAAUGGAACUGAGACACGGUCCAUACUCCUACGGGAGGCAGCAGUAGGGAAUCUUCCACAAUGGGCGCAAGCCUGAUGGAGCAACACCGCGUGAGUGAAGAAGGGUUUCGGCUCGUAAAGCUCUGUUGUUGGAGAAGAACGUGCGUGAGAGUAACUGUUCACGCAGUGACGGUAUCCAACCAGAAAGUCACGGCUAACUACGUGCCAGCAGCCGCGGUAAUACGUAGGUGGCAAGCGUUAUCCGGAUUUAUUGGGCGUAAAGCGAGCGCAGGCGGUUGCUUAGGUCUGAUGUGAAAGCCUUCGGCUUAACCGAAGAAGUGCAUCGGAAACCGGGCGACUUGAGUGCAGAAGAGGACAGUGGAACUCCAUGUGUAGCGGUGGAAUGCGUAGAUAUAUGGAAGAACACCAGUGGCGAAGGCGGCUGUCUGGUCUGCAACUGACGCUGAGGCUCGAAAGCAUGGGUAGCGAACAGGAUUAGAUACCCUGGUAGUCCAUGCCGUAAACGAUGAGUGCUAGGUGUUGGAGGGUUUCCGCCCUUCAGUGCCGGAGCUAACGCAUUAAGCACUCCGCCUGGGGAGUACGACCGCAAGGUUGAAACUCAAAGGAAUUGACGGGGGCCCGCACAAGCGGUGGAGCAUGUGGUUUAAUUCGAAGCUACGCGAAGAACCUUACCAGGUCUUGACAUCUUGCGCUAACCUUAGAGAUAAGGCGUUCCCUUCGGGGACGCAAUGACAGGUGGUGCAUGGUCGUCGUCAGCUCGUGUCGUGAGAUGUUGGGUUAAGUCCCGCAACGAGCGCAACCCUUGUUACUAGUUGCCAGCAUUAAGUUGGGCACUCUAGUGAGACUGCCGGUGACAAACCGGAGGAAGGUGGGGACGACGUCAGAUCAUCAUGCCCCUUAUGACCUGGGCUACACACGUGCUACAAUGGACGGUACAACGAGUCGCAAGCUCGCGAGAGUAAGCUAAUCUCUUAAAGCCGUUCUCAGUUCGGACUGUAGGCUGCAACUCGCCUACACGAAGUCGGAAUCGCUAGUAAUCGCGGAUCAGCAUGC